AUGAACGGCGUUUCCUGGCAAGAAAAAAAAAUUAAAAAAAAAAAAAGCAAAAAACCGGCGCCUUUUCGCCUGCCCCAAAAACGCGGGGUUUCGGCUCUUUUCUCCUUCCUUUCUCCCGCCGUGGGGGGAGCGCCCGGCGUUCGUUUUGGGAUGGUUUCGGGCCCGCUGCUAAUUUUCCAGGGCAGCUUUAAUAGGAUUUCACGGCCAGCGCGGAUUAUCCGGGGAGAGCCCAUUAUGGGGUGGCCGUGCGCCAGGGGGAGGCGGGGAGGGGCGCCCCCCCCCCCCACCUGCAAACCUUGCUUUUUUUUGGGGAUAUUUGGGAAUCCUAAAAUGCUGGGAAGGGCGAGGAGGGCUCUGGGCGUCUGCCCCCUGCGCUUUGCUGCACAAGGGUUGCCCGGGGACCCCCCCCAACCCCCCAAAAGGGACCCUGCCCCUCUCUGCCCCGCUGUUCCCAGCUUGCAGGGAGCCCGGCUGUGCGUGGCGUGGCUCCUUGCACAACUCCUUGCACAACUCCUUGCACAACUCCCUGGGCUGCACCUUGCACAAUGCCUCGCGCUGCAGGGCCUCCGCGUGGCACCUUGCGUUGUGGUGGCGCUUUGCAGAGCACCUUGCACAGCAGGGCCUGUGCACGGCACCUUGCACGGCACCUUGCACAGCUCUGGCACCUUGCACAGCCCCUUGCACAGCAGGGCCUUUGCAUGGCACUUUGCAUGGCACCUUGCACAGCACCUUGCACAGCGCUGGCAUCUUGCAGACACCUUGCACAGCACCUUGCACAGCCCCUUGCACAGCAGGGCCUUUGCACAGCACCUUGCACAACAGCUUGCACAGCACUGGCACCUUGCACAGCGCCUUGCACAACAGGGCCUUUGCACAACACCUUGCACAGCACUGGCACAACACCUUGCACAGUGCUGGCAUCUUGCACAGCACGUUGCACAGCAGGGCCUUUGCACAACACCUUGCACAACAGCUUGCACAGCACUGGCACCUUGCACAGCGCCUUGCACAACAGGGCCUUUGCACGGCACUUUGCAUGGCACCUUGCACAGUGCUGGCGUCUUGCAAACACCUUGCACAGCAGGGCCUUUGCACAACACCUUGCACAACACCUUGCACAGCACUGGCACCUUGCACAGCAGGGCCUGUGCACGGCACCUUGCACGGCACCUUGCACAGUGCUGGCGUCUUGCAAACACCUUGCACAGCAGGGCCUUUGCACAACACCUUGCACAACACCUUGCACAGCACUGGCACCUUGCACAGUGCCUUGCACAACAGGGCCUUUGCACGGCACUUUGCAUGGCACCUUGCACAGCGCUGGCAUCUUGCACAACACGGCCUUUGCACGGCACCUUGCACAGCACCUUGCACAGCACCGACACUUUGCACAGUGCUGGCAUCUUGCAAACACCUUGCACAGCACCUUGCACAGCAGGGCCUUUGCGUGGCACUUGCACAACACCUUGCACACCACUGGCACCUUGCACAGCACCGACGCCUUUGCACAGCAUUUUGCACAGCAGGCUCUUUGCACAGCACCUUGCACAACUCCCUGAACAGCAGGGCCAUUGCAUGGCGCUCGCCAUAGCAGGGUGUUUGCACAACCCCUUGCACAGCGCCUUGCACAGCACCAGCACCUUGCACAGCAGCGUGCAUGGCACAGGGCCUUUGCACAACCCCUUGCACCAACCCCUUGCACAACCCCUUGCACAACGCCUCGCACAGCACCAGCACCUUGCACUGCACCCCACUCAGCUCAGGAUGGGGCUGGGGGGGUGCUGCUGGAGCCCCCCAAAACCCCCCAGCACCAGGAGCAGCGCCGUGCCCAGCCCCGAGCGCUCGCUGCGGGCCAGCAGCUGUAAGGAGACACCGCCGGCGCGGCCGGAUUUAUAGGAAAAGCUUCCCUGGGGGGGAAUUAAGUGGGAAAAACCUCCGGCUGCCAGCUGCGAGGCUGCCAGGAGCCAGCAGCGAGGGCCCUGCGGUGGAUCCAGCCCCUUCCAGCCCAAAGGGGAAACUGAGGCAGGGGCUGGGAGCUCGGCACCGUGGCCCCCACCCCAUCCCCGUGCCCCCCUAACGCCCCUUCCCCUUUGUUUUUUUUUUUUUUUGUAGGGUGUUCAAGAAGGCGAGUCCCAACGGGAAG
This 2143-nucleotide long non-coding RNA is filed under the name Anas zonorhyncha (Eastern spot-billed duck). Its description in RNAcentral is "lncRNA (ENSAZOG00000003348.1)". The record is from RNAcentral. Lineage: Eukaryota; Metazoa; Chordata; Aves; Anseriformes; Anatidae.